GCGGGUGUGGUUCAAUGGUAGAACUCCAGCUUCCCAAGCUGGCGGCGAGGGUUCGAUUCCCUUCACCCGCUCCA
This 74-nucleotide transfer RNA is filed under the name Clostridia bacterium. Its description in RNAcentral is "tRNA-Gly". It matches the Rfam family "tRNA". Rfam says of the family: Transfer RNA (tRNA) molecules are approximately 80 nucleotides in length. Their secondary structure includes four short double-helical elements and three loops (D, anti-codon, and T loops). Further hydrogen bonds mediate the characteristic L-shaped molecular structure. tRNAs have two regions of fundamental functional importance: the anti-codon, which is responsible for specific mRNA codon recognition, and the 3' end, to which the tRNAs corresponding amino acid is attached (by aminoacyl-tRNA synthetases). tRNAs cope with the degeneracy of the genetic code in two manners: having more than one tRNA (with a specific anti-codon) for a particular amino acid; and 'wobble' base-pairing, i.e. permitting non-standard base-pairing at the 3rd anti-codon position. Lineage: Bacteria; Bacillati; Bacillota; Clostridia. RNAcentral also lists the same sequence under 3 other names. The record is from RNAcentral.